This 253-nucleotide ribosomal RNA is filed under the name uncultured bacterium. Its description in RNAcentral is "partial 16S ribosomal RNA". It matches the Rfam family "Bacterial small subunit ribosomal RNA", at positions 524 to 776 of the family's 1533-position model. The record is from RNAcentral.
UACGGAGGGUGCAAGCGUUGUCCGGAUUUACUGGGCGUAAAGGGCGCGUAGGCGGCAAUUCAAGUCAUCUGUGAAAUCUCCGGGCUUAACUCGGAACGGUCAGAUGAUACUGCUUUGCUAGAGUACAGAAGGGGCAAUCGGAAUUCUUGGUGUAGCGGUGAAAUGCGUAGAUAUCAAGAGGAACACCUGAGGUGAAGACGGGUUGCUGGGCUGAUACUGACGCUGAGGCGCGAAAGCUAGGGUAGCAAACGGG